AUCAUGUCUCAGGUCAUGAUUUCAUCACUUCAAAACAAUGAGGAAAUAAUAUGUUUUUAUGAGAUGUAGUGGAGUAACUUGUCAAAUAUUAUGCUUUGGAAUGUAGUUAAAAGUUUUCCAAACUGCUCUGAUAGAGUGCAGAUACUUUCACCAUUGCUAUCUGUCUGUCUAAUAUGUAAUCUCCCAAUAGUGCACUCGCUGACAUGCUACACCUGUGUGGAUGGGGACUGCAAGACCCCAACCGAAUGUCCAGCCUCAAGCAAUUUCUGCAAAACAGUUUCAACAGCCACUGUGUUCAGCCGGACAUGUGAGGAGUUCUGUGUUCCGGGAGUGAACAUCCACUGCUGCACUUCUGAUCUGUGUGACUAAUCUCUCAACAUCACCAGUCCUGCUGAUCGACUGUCCUUGAGUCAGGCACUCAUGUUCAUUGUAAUAGCGUAGCAGGAAAAAUAUCAUUGGGUUACUCUAGGUGUAUAAUUUUUCUAAUGACUUUUUUCCAUCUGACUCAACAUGGUUUGCUUUACAUAACAUUACUUAAUAAAGGAAUGUCUAAUACGUGUGGUUUCUGUCCCAGAUCGGCA
This 581-nucleotide long non-coding RNA is filed under the name Sinocyclocheilus grahami. Its description in RNAcentral is "lncRNA (ENSSGRG00000043125.1)". The record is from RNAcentral. Lineage: Eukaryota; Metazoa; Chordata; Actinopteri; Cypriniformes; Cyprinidae.